CAGGAAGAGAUGGUAAUGUUGUUUUCUAUGGGACCAGACAGGAAGAGAGGUGGUAAUGUUGUUUUCUAUGGGACCAGACAGGAAGAGAUGGAGGUGGUAAUGUUGUUUUCUAUGGGACCAGACAGGAAGAGAGAUGGUAAUGUUGUUUUCUAUGGGACCAGACAGGAAGAGAGAUGGUAAUGUUGUUUUCUAUGGGACCAGACAGGAAGAGAUGGUAAUGUUGUUUUCUAUGGGACCAGACAGGAAGAGAUGGUAAUGUUGUUUUCUAUGGUACCAGACAGGAAGAGAUGGUAAUGUUGUUUUCUUCUGUGAUGAAAUGUAAAGUGCCUUCGGAAAGUAUACAGACCCCUUGACUUUUUCCACAUUUUGUUACGUAACAACCUUAUUCUAAAAUUGAUUUUAAAAAAUUGUUUCCUCAAUCACAAUACCUCAUAAUGACAAAGAAAAAACGGGUUUUUAGACAUUUUUGCUAAUUUAUUCAAAAUAAACUGAAAUAUCAUACUUACACAAGUAUUCAGACCCUUUACUCAGCACUUUGUUGAAGCACCUUUAGCAGCGAUUACAGCCUCCAGUCUUCAUCGGUAUGAAGGUAACUUGGCACACCUGUAUUUGGGGAGUUUCUCCCAUUCUUCUCUGCAGAUCCAAGCUAUGUCAGGAUCGAUGGGGAGCGUCGCUGCACAGCUAUUUUCAGGUCUCCAGAGAUGUUCGAUCGGGUUGGUGCCAGAUUUCCUCCAGACGUGACACUUGGCAUUCUGGCUAAAGAGUUCAAUCUUGGUUUCAUCAGACCAGAGAAUCUUGUUUCUCAUGGUCAGAGUCCUUUCGGUGCAUUUUGGUAAACUCUAAUGUAAAUAUAAAUAAGGUAUUUCUGUUUUGUAUUUGUUUUUACAUUUGCCCAAAAUAAAAAUAAAAACAGUUUUUGCUUUGUCAUUAUGGGGUAUUGUGUGUAGAUUGCUGAGGAUUUUUAUUUAUUUAAUCAAUUUUUGAAUAAGGCUAUAACAUAACAAAAUGUGGAAAAAGUCCAGGUGUCUGAAUACAUUCCAAAGGCACUGUGUACUUCCUAAAUGUCACCCUGUUCCCUUUAUAGUACACUACUUUUGACCAGGGUAGUGCACUAUAAAAGGACUAGGGUGCCAUUUGGGAUAGACGAUAUACUGUAAUAUUUGUUGAAGGAAUGAUAUGAUUGGAC
Molecule: long non-coding RNA, 1186 nt
Organism: Oncorhynchus tshawytscha (Chinook salmon)
Lineage: Eukaryota; Metazoa; Chordata; Actinopteri; Salmoniformes; Salmonidae
Source: Ensembl